UUUUAACCAAUGAAUGGGUGAUAGGUACUCAGACAUUGGUUUUUGACAGUUACUUUUUACUUCACCCUUUUGUUUGGUGAAAAUGAGUUUGAUCAUGGAAUCAUGAAUUUGACUAUAGAUAUACUUUAAUGAAUCAUUAAGCUUUUUCACUUUGCAAGUUCCUUGUCGUACCAAUCAUAGUCAUAGAUAAGCGAGUGUUGGUGGCAUGGAGAAUAUACAGAAGAAGCAUUUAGAGUAUGUGUUGAUGCCAUUGGGUCUAUUGGUGUUCCUGAUAUACCAUGUUUGGCUUGUUUACACCAUUCGUUGCAAUCCUCUUCGAACUGUCAUUGGCUUAAACGCAGAGUCUCGUCAUCAGUGGGUUCUUUCCAUGAUGACUGAUCCCUUGAAGAAUGGUGUUUUGGCAGUUCAAACAAUUCGCAACAGCAUCAUGGCAUCUACUCUUCUAGCAACAACAGCAAUCACACUAAGUUCCCUUAUUGGUAUUUUUGCUAGCAAUACAUGGGGUACUGAUGACACGGCUUUCAUGCCUUACAAUGAUUAUCCAAUGAAACGUAUUUCAAUCACCAUUUGCUUCCUUGUUGCGUUUUUAUGCAAUGUGCAGUCUAUAAGAUACUAUGCCCAUGUCAGCUUCUUAAUCACUGCACCUACACUCAGAGACAAAAGGGAGUAUAUGGAAUACAUUGCUAAGACGUUGAAUCGUGGGAGUAUUUCUUGGUCCAUUGGACUUAGAGCAUUUUACUUGUCAUUUCCACUCUUCCUCUGGAUUUAUGGGCCCAUACCCAUGUUUGCUUGUUGCUGUUUGACAUCACUUAUUCUGUACUUCUUGGAUACAACAGCUAAAAUCACGCGGGAUCUUCAUAGUAACUCUUUCAAGAAGGAGAGGGGAACUCAGGAUGUAGAGUCUGCGGCGGAACCUGAUUAUUUUCCUUUACCUGACAACAAUUAGUAUCAAAACUCAGUUUUUGCAGAUAACUUUAAUAGUUGACAGAGGAAACGGAGCCUCUUUAUCUUUAUUUGUUUUGAAAAAAAAAGACAAGUUUUUGUGUGUGGAAGUGGGGUGUAAAAGACAAAGGUAGGUAAGAGUGAAAGGAAAGGGAACUAAUUUGAAUUUCAAUAAUAUCCCAAGAUUACAAUUUUGAAGUGGAGAGGCGUUAUUGGUUAUGUUAUGAGGUAGCAGUGAAUGGUGAAAGGUAAAGUUUGAAGAUUGAAGAAUUGAAGAAGCAGCAUGCAAGAACAGGAUUUGGACUACAUAGUGGUGCCUGUGGGUUUGUUGGUGUUGGGAAUAUAUCACUUUUGGCUUCUCUACACUAUAAUCCACCACCCUUCUCGCACUGUCAUUGGCUUGAAUGCUCAGUCUCGUUACCAAUGGGUUCUCACCAUCAUGGCUGAUCCCUUGAAAAAUGGGGUUUUGGCAGUUCAAACAAUCCGCAACAAUAUCAUGGCAUCUACUCUUCUUGCCACAACAGCAAUCACGCUUAGUUCACUCAUUGGCGUUUUUGCAACCAAUGACUCAGACACCAAAUUAGUUUAUGGCAAUAAAACGUCCCUUAAUUCUUCCAUCAAACGCCUCUCUAUCUCUUUAUGCUUCCUUGUUGCAUUUCUAUGCAAUGUGCAGUCUAUUAGACACUAUGCUCAUGUGAGCUUCUUAAUCACUACACAUGCACUGAAAGGCAAAAAGGAUUUUAUUGAAUAUGUUGCAAAAGCCUUGAACCGUGGUAGUUAUUCUUGGUCUCUUGGGUUGCGGGCUUUCUACUUGUCAUUUCCUCUUGUCCUAUGGAUUUAUGGGCCCAUACCCAUGUUUGCUUGUUGCUGCUUGACAUCAUUUAUUUUGUAUUUCUUGGAUACAACCACUCAAAUCACACGUGAUCUUCACACCAAGUCAUUUAAGGAGAGGGAAACCGAGGACAUGGAAGCAGCAUAGGUACAUCAUUGUAACUGUUCUUGUCUUCUUGAACUUUAUAUAACUAUUAUCUUCUAGCUUGUAGUAAAGUUCAAUUAUAGAUUUACUAUAAUUAUCUCUGUGAUGAUGCUGUUAUUGCCUUAUUGGUGAAUUAUUGUAUAAUAUUUAUUAAAUAGUAUGUGUAGUAUCAUGAGGUGUUCUUUUUCCUGUUUUUGAAGCGUAAUUUCUUUUUGGCGCUGGGAGAGUUUGUUAAUUCUGAACCUUAUGCUUAAUUUGUGAAUAAAAAAUACGAGCUUUAUUAGUGC
Abrus precatorius (Indian licorice) is the source of this 2205-nucleotide RNA transcript. RefSeq lists it as uncharacterized. The record is from RefSeq and is a predicted model, not a curated record. Lineage: Eukaryota; Viridiplantae; Streptophyta; Magnoliopsida; Fabales; Fabaceae. The transcript is spliced from 4 exons.